UCAGUCGGCCGGACGGCCGCUCCGGCAAGCGCCGAAAGGCCGCCGGGGAGGAAAGUCCGGGCUCCAUCGACAUACGGUGCCGGAUAACGUCCGGCGGGGGCGACCCCAGGGAAAGUGCCACAGAGAACGAACCGCUUCCCCCUCCCCUCGGGGUGGGGGCGAGUAAGGGUGAAAAGGUGCGGUAAGAGCGCACCGCGUCGCCGGCAACGGAGACGGCAUGGUAAACCCCACCGGGAGCAAAACCGAAUAGGGACGGCAUCGCGGACAGUUCGCUUUCGGGCGAUAACUCCGCAGGGCGAUGUCAGGCUCGCCGUCCGGGUAGGUUGCUCGAGGCCAUGUGCAAACAUGGUCCCAGAGGAAUGGCCGUCACGUAUCGGCUGCGCAAGCAGCCGGUGCCCUCCAGAACCCGGCUUACAGGCCGACUGAUACU
Rhodopseudomonas palustris BisB5 is the source of this 430-nucleotide non-coding RNA. The record is from Rfam. NCBI's taxonomy places the organism in Bacteria, Pseudomonadati, Pseudomonadota, Alphaproteobacteria, Hyphomicrobiales, Nitrobacteraceae.